RNAcentral lists this ribosomal RNA (465 nucleotides) under uncultured Klebsiella sp. RNAcentral's name for it is "bacterial SSU rRNA". It matches the Rfam family "Bacterial small subunit ribosomal RNA", at positions 338 to 795 of the family's 1533-position model. The record is from RNAcentral. Lineage: Bacteria; Pseudomonadati; Pseudomonadota; Gammaproteobacteria; Enterobacterales; Enterobacteriaceae.
CCUACGGGCGGCUGCAGUGGGAAAUAUUGCACAAUGGGCGCAAGCCUGAUGCAGCCAUGCCGCGUGUGUGAAGAAGGCCUUCGGGUUGUAAAGCACUUUCAGCGGGGAGGAAGGCGUUAAGGUUAAUAACCUUGGCGAUUGACGUUACCCGCAGAAGAAGCACCGGCUAACUCCGUGCCAGCAGCCGCGGUAAUACGGAGGGUGCAAGCGUUAAUCGGAAUUACUGGGCGUAAAGCGCACGCAGGCGGUCUGUCAAGUCGGAUGUGAAAUCCCCGGGCUCAACCUGGGAACUGCAUUCGAAACUGGCAGGCUAGAGUCUUGUAGAGGGGGGUAGAAUUCCAGGUGUAGCGGUGAAAUGCGUAGAGAUCUGGAGGAAUACCGGUGGCGAAGGCGGCCCCCUGGACAAAGACUGACGCUCAGGUGCGAAAGCGUGGGGAGCAAACAGGAUUAGAUACCCCGGUAGUC